This 198-nucleotide ribosomal RNA is filed under the name uncultured bacterium. RNAcentral describes it as "partial 16S ribosomal RNA". It matches the Rfam family "Bacterial small subunit ribosomal RNA", at positions 1288 to 1500 of the family's 1533-position model. The record is from RNAcentral.
UAGUUCGGAUUGUAGGCUGAAACCCGCCUACAUGAAGCUGGAAUUGCUAGUAAUCACAGGUCAGCAUACUGUGGUGAAUACGUUCCCGGGCCUUGUACACACCGCCCGUCACACCAUGAGAGUUGAGAAUACCCGAAGCCCAUGUCAAAGUGGUCGAAGGUAGGCUUGAUGAUUGGGGUGAAGUCGUAACAAGGUACC